Harpegnathos saltator (Jerdon's jumping ant) is the source of this 2498-nucleotide long non-coding RNA. RefSeq lists it as uncharacterized. The record is from RefSeq and is a predicted model, not a curated record. The transcript has 5 exons. Lineage: Eukaryota; Metazoa; Arthropoda; Insecta; Hymenoptera; Formicidae.
AUACAAAAGUCGGUAUCGAAUCUGACGCGCGCGCUCGCAACCGAUUACAACAUUCUCCCCAGACAAUUCCCCAUUUUGCUCGGUGAUUGAACCAUCAUGAAAAUACAUUCAGAGAUACCUGGGGGCUGGAUUUCUCCAACUAAAGGCCCCGGCCGUUUCAACGGCUCGCUGACCGCAUCGUUUGACAGCGCGCGCGUCAACGACCGCGCGGUCUGCUACGCUCCGCGGCCGAAGACAAAAAGGCGUCGAGGUGUCGAACAGAAAGCUCUCGCGGCGAGCGCGCCGCGCGAUGUGUGCGCGCCUUCGCUUCCGCUUUAAUUAUGACUAUUCAGUAGUGCUCCGUGACUCGCACGUGGAUAGCACGCGUCGCGCUGCGUCACGUCGCGUCGCGUUGCGUAGCGUUCCGCCGAGUGGAGCGCGUCGUCGCGACACGCCGGACACGGAGCGGCAAUAAAAGUUCGCGCCAUCCCCCGCGCGCUGGCUCGCUCGCUCGCUCGUUCGCGAUUAAAAAGUGCAAAAUAUAAAUACACCGCGGCGUAUUCCGCCGAGCGAAGCUUGCGCGCGCGCGCGCCGGGCUACUUUUUUACAAAAACCGUCGGGCGUCGCGCGACGACGCACUCCCGCGCGCAGCGUCGCGUUGUGCGUUCCUUUUUCCUUAUUUUUUUGUCCGAACGAGUUUACAUUCGGGCGACACGCGGGCGCGACGCGACGCGACGCGGCCGGUUUUAAAUAUGCAAGUCGCGCGACGCUGGGCGGCGUCACUUCCGGUCGCGCGUUCCGUGUGCGCGCGCGCGCGCGUAUGCUCGCGUAUGACGCCGUGUGCGCGCCAUUAUUGUACAUUCGCGAAUUAAGCCGGCGCGCGCGUUGGAGAAUUGAAGAGAUCCGCGAGACAAAGAUACGUAGACGCGUUUCGCUUACGAACGAGCUCGCAACCGAGUCGUCACGAAGGGAGAGAGGGAGAGGGAGAGAGACAAUGUCGCGGGCUUGCCGAAAAUUCGGGAGCGUAGCUUCGUACAAGGUCGGCUUCUUUCGUUCAAUCAUGCUCUACCUGCGGACAUGAACGAAAAAAUAGCCACAUGCUCAGAUGGGUCAGAAUAUUUCGAGCGCUUUUUAAAAAAGAUUUGGAGAACAAUUGGCGGACACGCACGAGGGAUGCACUUCCGACGGAUGCAGAUGCAGCACCGGAGGACCCGGUUCGAGCUGAGCGGGGUCGGUUGGAAGGUUUCACCGACUACCUCUAUAUUCCUCUGUUUAACUCCUUCCCCCUCCCCCUCCUCCUCUCUCCUCCUCCUCCUCCUCCUCCGUUCUGCCGUGCGGACGAAAGACGAGGACGAAGCCGUCAGCACGAGACUCGAAUUACGACCGUAAAGGGCUAAUUUAGCGAUCCGGCCGUGGCCGAGCCUGAAGCUACUUCACCGGGUGGAGCAUAAUUAUGAGGGGAUAAUUUGCCGUAUAAUUAUAAUAAAGAGAGAAAUCUGACGCACACACAGAGAAGUCGCGUACGUGAAUAAAGAAUAAAAGAUAACUCGAUGUCUUACCGAUCAUCGUACUUGAGACUUGUCAUUGUUAUUGACGUUGUUAUUAUUAAUGUAUACCACUACUUCGCUCGACGACUUAGUUCUCUCACAAUGGUACGAGUACCGUCGAAUGAAAUAUGACCUUUUAAUUCUGCAAGAUACGUCGGCGGGAACCGAAAAUUGCUCGCCGCCGCACGUGACACUCGCGGUAAUCUCGUUCGUGUUAAUCGAUUUUCCGAUCGUCGGCAGUCUUCUCCAGUUUUCUCACUCACGGAGAAACAAAGAGAUUUCGCGACAGAGCCGCGAUUGUUCGUUGCUCGCGCGUAUAAUUGUUCGCGAUACGGAACUCGAAUCAUAUUCUUCUGUCGCAUUUCGGGAAAUUGCGACACUUUUAAAACUUUUAAAUGACUUUUCAACAAUCCUCACUUUACGACCGCAUCUUUGCAUUCUGUGUAAAUAAAUCGAUACUUGCAACACCGACGAGAGAGAACCGAUCGACGAGAGAGAAUAUCGGAAAGAUACUUUUAGUUCGCUCACACAAUCUAUAAUCAUCCAAUUGUUUCGACAAUCAUAUGAUUGAUUUUACAUACGCAAAACAUCUCAUUUUCUCGCCAGAGAAUAAGUAAUAAAAACAAUCGACGAUGUUGCAAAGAGAUAUCGAUACUAUAUUAUAUCGCGAUAACAAAGUAUCACGUGUAAAACAGCAGCGGAUCGUAUUGUAAUUAUCGAAUUAUGCAUAAAAACAACGCAAAAGAGUGGAAUUAUAAGACGCGGAUUAUUUUAUAAAUCUUCGCGUAAUGCGCACGCAGACACGCACAUUGUAAAUGAUCGCGCGACAAUUUUCUAUGAAAUCUGCUUCGUUCGUCGUACUUCUCUCGGUAUAGGUUCGACAAUUGCGGCGAUAUUUCGGUAGCCACGACUCGCGGCGAGCCGAUUAUAACCCGUUUGUUAUGUUUACACAUUCCCGUCGCGAUUACGUCG